AAAACCUGCUCUCGUCUGCUUUAUACCAGACACUUUCUGGUGUCUGGAAUUUGCUUUUCAGCAGGACAAUAACCUACAACAAAGCUUAAUCUGUACUUACCAAGCAGACAGUGAGUGCUACUGAGUGGCCAAGUUAAAGUUGAGUCUGCUUGAAAAUCUAUGGCAAGACUUAAAUUGCUGUUUAGCCAUGAUCCAACACCUUGACAGUGCUUGAAGAAUGGGCAAAUAUUGCACAAUACAGCAGAGAAUGCAGAGAGAGUGUGGAGGCUAGUAGAGGUUUUAUUAUGCCCGCGCUCUGACACUCCCUCUUCCGGACCAGCUCGGCUGAAUGCCCUGGCUCCAACUGAUGCCAGCCUCGAUGAUCAUACUGAUAACGCUCUUAUACUGAUAUGCCAUGAAGAUGGAUCUAGUGCCCAGGGCACACUCACCUCCACCCUCCUCCACCUCAGGGUAGUUCUGACGGGGACACGACCUCCCACAACCUCCACACAUGGGGUGCCACACGCAGGGCGCCGGGGUGCCCCAGAGUCUCCUGCCCAAACC
RNAcentral lists this long non-coding RNA (543 nucleotides) under Salmo salar (Atlantic salmon). Its description in RNAcentral is "lncRNA (ENSSSAG00000103087.1, ENSSSAG00075064489.1)". Lineage: Eukaryota; Metazoa; Chordata; Actinopteri; Salmoniformes; Salmonidae. The record is from RNAcentral.